Molecule: long non-coding RNA, 199 nt
Filed under: Brachypodium distachyon (stiff brome)
Lineage: Eukaryota; Viridiplantae; Streptophyta; Magnoliopsida; Poales; Poaceae
Description: long non-coding RNA (BDIS_LNC002020)
Source: RNAcentral
CGAGCCGUGGUAACGCAUGGGCAUUUCCGCUAGUAAAUUAAAAAAUAUUAAUCAAUGAGACAUAUGAAUAAACUAAAUAAGUAAAUACAAUUUUUUUAAAGGAAAACAACAAUUAAAAAUAAAGAAAUACGGAAAAUAAAGACAAACGAAAAAGAAUGGACAAUACCACCCUAGCAGGCCGGCCCACAAUAGUCGGGGG